UACGUAGGCGGUUUAUUAAGUCAAAUGUGAAAGCCCCGGGCUUAACCUGGGAACUGCAUUUGAUACUGGUAAACUAGAGUAUGGUAGAGGGGGGUAGAAUUCCUAGUGUAGCGGUGAAAUGCGUAGAUAUUAGGAGGAAUACCAGUGGCGAAGGCGGCCCCCUGGACCAAUACUGACGCUGAGGUACGAAAGCGUGGGUAGCGAACA
Molecule: ribosomal RNA, 207 nt
Filed under: uncultured bacterium
Lineage: Bacteria
Description: partial 16S ribosomal RNA
Rfam family: Bacterial small subunit ribosomal RNA
Source: RNAcentral